This 468-nucleotide ribosomal RNA is filed under the name uncultured bacterium. RNAcentral describes it as "partial 16S ribosomal RNA". It matches the Rfam family "Bacterial small subunit ribosomal RNA", at positions 28 to 507 of the family's 1533-position model. The record is from RNAcentral.
GACGAACGCUGGCGGCGUGCUUAACACAUGCAAGUCGAACGGAAAGGCCCUGCUUUUGUGGGUUGCUCGAGUGGCGAACGGGUGAGUAACACGUGAGUAACCUGCCCUUGACUGUGUGAUAACUUCAGGAAACUGGGGCUAAUACCGGAUAGGAGCUCCUGCUGCAUGGUGGGGGGUGGAAAGUUGCGGCGGUCGGGGAUGGACUCGCGGCUUAUCAGCUUGUUGGUGGGGUAGUGGCUUACCAAGGCUUUGACGGGUAGCCGGCCUGAGAGGGUGACCGGCCACAUUGGGACUGAGAGACGGACCAGACUCCUACGGUAGGCAGCAGGGGGGAAUAUUGCACAAUGGGCGGAAGCCUGAUGCAGCAACGCCGCGUGCGGGAUGACGGCCUUCGGGUUGUAAACCGCUUUCGCCUGUGACGAAGCGUGAGUGACGGUAAUGGGUAAAGAAGCACCGGCUAACUACGUG